GACGAACGCUGGCGGCGUGCUUAACACAUGCAAGUCGAACGGAAAGGCCCUGCUUGCAGGGUACUCGAGUGGCGAACGGGUGAGUAACACGUGGGUGAUCUGCCCUGCACUUCGGGAUAAGCCUGGGAAACUGGGUCUAAUACCGGAUAGGAGCCAUUUUUAGUGUGAUGGUUGGAAAGUUUUUUCGGUGUAGGAUGAGCUCGCGGCCUAUCAGCUUGUUGGUGGGGUAAUGGCCUACCAAGGCGGCGACGGGUAGCCGGCCUGAGAGGGUGGACGGCCACAUUGGGACUGAGAGACGGCCCAGACUCCUACGGGAGGCAGAAGUGGGGAAGAUUGAACAAUGGGCGCAAGCCGGAUGCAGCGACGCCGCGUGGGGGAUGACGGCCUUCGGGUUGUAAACUACUUUCGCUAGGGAAGAAGCUUUUUGUGACGGUACCUAGAGAAGAAGCACCGGCUAACUACGUG
RNAcentral lists this ribosomal RNA (465 nucleotides) under uncultured bacterium. RNAcentral describes it as "partial 16S ribosomal RNA". It matches the Rfam family "Bacterial small subunit ribosomal RNA", at positions 28 to 507 of the family's 1533-position model. The record is from RNAcentral.